Molecule: ribosomal RNA, 253 nt
Filed under: uncultured bacterium
Lineage: Bacteria
Description: partial 16S ribosomal RNA
Rfam family: Bacterial small subunit ribosomal RNA
Source: RNAcentral
UACGGAGGGAGCUAGCGUUGUUCGGAAUUAUUGGGCGUAAAGGGCGCGUAGGCGGUCCUGUAAGCCCGGCGUGAAAACCUGGAGCUCAACUCCGGGCCUGCGCUGGGAACUGCGGGACUAGAGUCAUGGAAGGGAAGUUGGAAUUCCAGGUGUAGGGGUGAAAUCUGUAGAUAUCUGGAAGAACACCGGCGGCGAAGGCGAACUUCUGGCCAAUGACUGACGCUGAGGCGCGAAAGUGCGGGGAGCAAACAGG